This 324-nucleotide ribosomal RNA is filed under the name uncultured eukaryote. Its description in RNAcentral is "partial 18S ribosomal RNA". It matches the Rfam family "Eukaryotic small subunit ribosomal RNA", at positions 1470 to 1796 of the family's 1831-position model. The record is from RNAcentral.
CCCCUAGAUGUUCUGGGCCGCACGCGCGCUACACUGAACAGUUCAACAAGUCUUAACCUUGGCCGAUAGGUCUGGGUAAUCUUUGAACGCUGUUCGUGAUUGGGAUAGACCUUUGCAAUUAUGGGUCUUCAACGAGGAAUUCCUAGUAAACGCAAGUCAUCAGCUUGCAUUGAUUACGUCCCUGCCCUUUGUACACACCGCCCGUCGCACCUACCGAUUGAGUGAUCCGGUGAAUAAUUCGGACUGCGGCAGUGUUCAGUUCCUGAACGUUGCAGUGGAAAGUUUAGUGAACCUUAUCACUUAGAGGAAGGAGAANUCGUAACA